RNAcentral lists this long non-coding RNA (41730 nucleotides) under Eucalyptus grandis. Its description in RNAcentral is "long non-coding RNA (EGRA_LNC005790)". The record is from RNAcentral. Lineage: Eukaryota; Viridiplantae; Streptophyta; Magnoliopsida; Myrtales; Myrtaceae.
GCUUUCACUUUCUGAUACAACAUCAGAAUCUUCCUCAUCAGGGUCAAACAUUUCAUCUCCAACGAAACAAUCAUUCAAGUCCUUAUGCUCACUUUCUUCAUGCUGAUGUUCACUGAUAUGAUCAGAAACUGGAGGCAGCAGUGGCUUUUCAUCCUGGUCUUUAUAAUCUGACAGGACAACAUACUUACUUUCAUCAAGCCGAGGCUUUGCAACGUUGAAGGGAACCCACCUGAGAUAUGCAUUAAAUAGCUUGCACAUUAACUUUGACAAUAUGCAGAAGUACUAAUUGCACAUCUUAAAGAAUAACUGAGCUCACAUAAUGACUAUUAAAUGUGAAGUAGUUGAACUAAAAGGGAUGAUGAGUUUAAAAGUUCACUUCCUCGCAAUUUGGAAGACCCUCAAGAAAUAAAGUUUCAUCCAACGAAGGAGAGUGCAAGAGGGACGUACUGGUAACGGCGGGGACAUAGAAGCUCAGAUGGCCGAUACGCUGCUUUAUAUCUCAUCUUGCUGCAUGAAUGAAUGUAAUAGCCAAGGUAAUAAUACUGAAGACUGGCGCAGUGAACUUGAUUUUCCUUCACCCAAGAUAUUUCUUGCAAAGCCGAAUAUUUUCCCAGUGAUAAAAAGGCAAAGUCAGGGUCCCAAAAUAAAUAUUUACUCGACAAGCAUUUAGGAAGGAUAUCCACCACACCAACCGCAACUAAUCGGCCAUCAAUAACAUAUGACUGAUGGAAAGACCCAAAACCGCAGGGAGGAACUGAACCAUCAUUGGUCGAGGGAACAAAAACUAAUGGAGUGUCAACCAAAAAUCUCUUGUACGCACUCUCUGUGACCUGGGCUGGAUUGUCCUUGUGCACUUUCAACUGAUAUCGCCUGUACAACUCAAAUUCUUCACGCUCAAAAGUGGAUCUUUUCAGAAGAAUCUCAAGCUUCCGCCUUCUUCCUGAACAACAUUUACAGCACCUCACCAUACAUCUUCUCUUGUUUCCAUUUCUCGUUGAAGAUUCUUUAGAGAGAGAUUUUUCUUCGCCAGUCUUAUCCGCUGAAGCGUGCUCUGCAAUAGAAUAAAAGUUCAGAUGUCCGUUACAUGCUUGGACCAAGAAGCCAGAUGUUUCAUCCAUUUGAGACAAUGACCGCGCCAACUUUUCUCCAAUCCUUCGAGGUGUCAACUCAGAAGGCAGUUGGUCUUCUGCUGAGAUUCCAGAGAAUUCUGACCCUUUUUCAUCCUUUUUUCCUGACUGUGCACGCCUUAAAGUGGCAGCCAAUUGGAAAGCAAUGUUACUGGUAUACGAGAGAUUUUCCAAUCCUUUGACUAGCUUCUUCUUCUUGGUUGGGGAGACUCCUUUGACAGAAGCUUUAGGUAAUUGAAGAUUGGCAGAAAACGUCUCCCUUUCAAUGCAUGCCUGCACAGCCUUAUCAAUUGCAUCAGACAAGUAAUGCAUAAAUUGUUCUGGCUCAUUCUUAUCCUCCUCCACAUCCACAGAAGUUUCAACCGUUGCCAAGCUUGACCUUCCAUGACAUUCACAUUCACAUGCCACUUUAGAAGUAUUUAAAUCCUCCAGGAGCUCAGGCUUGGCUUUGGUGUCCAGUGUACCAUCCAGAAACCUAGAAACUAAUCACCAUGGUGAGAAAUUCUUGUACAUUAUAUCCAGAGUAUGCAGCUUUGCUAAAUCCUCACCUCAGAGGCAUAAUUUGGUUGAAAUGCACAAGUAGCCUAACAAUUUUCACAACCAUUGCACUUGUUAAGUUUAGCUUCAUGGUGUAAAAAGACCGAGAAAUUUCUCAAGGAGUCAAAAAGCAAAGCUCUUUCACUUUGAGAAAUCUCCUAGGUAGGAAAGCUUAGUGACGUCAAACUAAAAUUCCACUCAUGGAGUUGUCCAUUGAAAUACCAUUCCAAUGCCUACCAGCCUCAGAGUGGGCAAAUAGUAUUUUCGAUGACCACUGCUCUAAUCAAUUGACAAAGAAUGGACUCCAAACUCGAAUGCUGUCUUGAAAACAGGGUGGUGGUCGAUUUUGCAAAAUGCAAUGACGACGGAAUGAUGAAAAAAAUCAUAUGUGAAGAUGCAAUGAUCCAAUGAAUAGAAUCCAUAAUGUAGAGAGGUUAAUAAAGUAAUACCUUUCCAUCUGUUUGCGUACUCGAUUUUGCUCCUUGGAAGGAGAAAAGUCCGCUGCUUUUAAGCGGAUAGUAUAAGAAGGGCAACACGUAGUACUCAUAUCUGGCUUGUAAAGGAAAGAGCCAGAUCUUCUCCAUCCUCGAUCAAGGAGAUCUACAGGAUGAGUACCAAAGUAUGAAUUGCCACUCAAAAGAAAAAUGCAGAAUCAUCGAAUACGCUAUAACAUCUAUCCGACCCAUUAUUGCCACAGUAAGAAACCUAGCAGAGAAACCCAUCAGGUACAUUUGAAAGAAGAAUAAAAGGAGAAGGGUAAGACACGGACAGAAACUACUCGAGCCGGAACUUGAGCAUCCACCACAGCUCCGACACGGUUUCUCUGAGCUCUUGCAGUUAAAUACGCACAUACGGAAGCAUACGUGCAUGUCCUAACCGUUGAUAGAAGGAGUACGCAUAAAUUUCCCUCGUACGGAUCAAAUAUUCCGAAUUUCUCUAGUUCUUUCGAUCAGACAUGUGCACAUAUCGAAACUACAUCAGCCGAGUUCGAUAAGUAACAGCGCAUCGACAGUCCAGAGUUGCCCAGACUCUCAAAAUAGGAAAUUGCACACCAACCUUGAUAGUCAUCCACGGUCAGGCUCUGCGCAAUCAAGCCUGCGAUCCAAGUCGAAGAGACGUUAAAAAACAAACAACCCGAAACGGGAAAAAAUCGUCAGCGCGAGCCGACGCACGCAACGAAGCAUCAGAUUGGAACUAGAGACUAAACGCGAAUCAGCAAUUCCAGCGACCGUGAACGUCACGACAGACGACAAAAGCCGGAAAAAAGCAAACCCCGAAGCACGGCACCUCCAGUCCCGACCACCGGAGGCCGGGCAAAAACCGUACUCAACGACACGGGAGGGAGGCAAACAACGAGAAACGAAGGAGAAACCGUACGGACCGUGAGAAACGCUGGAGAACCCAUUUGGCGAUUUGCAGUACCCGCAGGAGCUCCUCCGCCGGCCGCAGUCCGAGACCACCGACUCCCCCCUUCCGCCGCCGCUGCUGCUCGCCUCGCUGCGAUGAUUGGCCGCCAUCUCCGAUCGAAGCUCCUUCCCUUCAACUAUUCAUCACCAAAGCAGAGGCGGAAAAAGGGCGAGGGAAUUGCCGGCGUCUCCGAUGUCUACGAGCUUCGAAUCCGUUUCCGGAAUUUGGAUAUAUAAAUCCGUGGGCUCUUCCUUCAAGCUCUUCUUGACUCGGCUAGGCGGUUUAACCCCGCCUUCUCCGGUUUUCCUUCCUCCCUCCCCCAGGGUCUUUCCUCGGAAAAGGGACAAAAGAAAAGUAUCAUCUCCAUUUUUAUUUUUAUUUUUUUUUUGCUUUUCUGGUGGCGUACUCUGAGAAUAUGUCCCGAAUGAGGCCACGAUUUUCACCCUCUUUUACCGCAAAGGCCCAUCGAAAGGUGGGGGCGGCAAUUUGCGUUUUUUCACCCCGGGAGUCUCUCCCCUAAUAUUGGCAAUCGAUAUCGUUUCACGAAAACUCCACAUUAAUAUACUUAUGAUAAUUUUAAAUUAAUUUUGAUAAUAAUGCUAAAAUAUAUAUAUAUAUAUAAUUUUUUUUAAAAGACCAAACCCUUCAUCAAAAUUUCUUAAUUUUUAUUUGUUUAAAAUUGAAAAAAAAUAACGUAUGCAACUUUUUUAAUAUAAAUUUUGACAAUAAUGCUAAAUAUAUAUAUAUAUAAUUUUUUUUAAAAAGACCAAAUCAUUUGUCAAAUUUUUUUUAGUUUUUUAAUUGUUUAAAAUUGAAAAAAUAAUUUAUGCAAAUUUUUAAAUAUAAAUUCGAAAAUAAUUCUAAAAAAUCAAAUAUAUAUAUAUAUAUAUAUAUAUAUAUAUAUUAAAAAGAACCAAACUCUUCGUUGGAAUUUUUUAAUUUUUAUUUGUUUAAAAUUGAAAAAAAUAAUGUAUGUAACUUUUUAAAUAUAAAUUUUGACAAUAAUGCUAAAAAAUCAAAUAUAUAAAUAAUUUUUUUAAAAAGACCAAAAUAUAUUUAUUUUUUUUAGUAUUUAUAUAAUUUUGAUUUUUUAGCAUUAUUUUGGCAUUUAAAAAAAAAUAACGAGGGCAAAAUUAGAAAUUUGAAGAAUAAGUUAUGAUAAUUUUGGAAAAAAAAAUAAGUUUUAGUAUUUGACUAAAUGCUAAAAGCUUAAAACUAGUCCCUACUAAUAUUGGCCUUUCAGACUUUUUAAUAUUGGCUUUCACUUGAAAGUUACUUCAAAAUGAUUGCCAAAUAAUUUAGCAUUUUCUCAAGAGACUUUGAAAUGUGAAAAUUCUUUGAGAAUGUUGAACCAAAUAUAUCCAAAGUCCAGUUUUUAUUGAGAAAGUAUCCGUUGGUGUUGGGUCUUGAUAAUCCAUGGUUCAUACAAGGGAAAGGGAAAGAAUAUUAUCGAAGAAUACAAUGUAGGAAAUUGAAAAGUAAGAGAGACCAAAAUCAAAAGACGUAUUUGCACGUAUUUUCUAUCAUAUCCACACGCUCCACCAAUCAAGGCGCACAAGUAUUUCGUUCAUACCACUUGCUCUGAUUGCGACAUUCGUAGUCUUAUCGCUAUCCCCAAAAUAUAGUAAAAGCCCUACACCCACUAACCCAAAAAAAAGUUUGAGAAAGAUGUCGUGGCAGCCUGGCUGGUACUUCAAUUGCCGCCUUAUUUUCAGAUGAUGAUGAUGGUGGUGGAAAGGUGCUCCACUCAACACCAGCCAAAAAAGAAGAAGAGAGAACAGCUAGUAGUUAAAUAGUCAAUCCUGGUCCUUUUCAUAUUGAAGGGGAAAAUGAUGCACGGGGGGCUAGAAGCUCGGGACAGGACAGACGGCCUUCAACUCCAGAAAAUAUUUGGUACCUCUUAUGUAACUAGCAUAACAAUAAAAGGAGAUCUAAAGAGGUGAGACACGUUUAAAGUAAGCCCAAACGUCAGAUUACCAUGCACGCUUUCUUCUCCCUCCUCUCUCCUGUCUCCUCUCUUUGCCCAAAUGCCAUAAUUCUCUACACACGCUCUCUCUCUCUUCGCCACCCGCUCUCUAUCCCACCGAGCUCUCGUUUGACCGACAAACUUUGCCCCAACGGAGGCAAAGCCGCGUUCAUUCAUCCCACAAGGGUUCGAUUGUGACUUGAAGAGGGAAAGAGAGAACAGCCGAUGGGGGCUAGCGAGCUAUCAUCAAACCAGCGCUGUGGCUCGUCGGCUAGACAAGGGCACGAUGGCUCGUUCAACGAACCACCACACAACCUUGCCUCGAGGUUGUCUACACUGUCGCGAAGUUCGUCGAUUAAGCGCGGUGGCUCGUCUGAUGAGCAAUCUCACGGCUCCGCCUCUGCAUAGAAAAGUUGCCUCCUCUGACGCUAGCCAACCUCAACGGAGAAGAAGAUGAAUAGUUGCAAAUAAGGGCAAAAUCGAAAAACAAAAAAAUUAGUGAGAAUAUUGGGUGUUUGAUAAAAUUUUCGAAUCCACUUUAAGAAAAAGUUUACAUUUGAAAAAUUGAAAACUCAAGGAGGUUACAGGCUACCUUGGGCUUCCAGCCUUCUUGCUAUGCAAGAAAGCCUAGGGAGGUAAAAAAAAAUUUAUUCUGAAACUAUCCUCAUUGACUUUUUUGGUUUUCCGAUUUUUCCCUUAUUUGCAAUUGUUCAUCUUCUUCUUUGUGGGGCUAGCCAGCGUGGCUACUGUGGCUAUGAGGGGUCGGCAAUGGGCUAAAGAGAGGCUAGCAUAAUCACGACGACCUAGGUGACCGUCGCCGGGGGUUGUGUGACCUAGGUGAGUGCCAUCUGGGUCACACAAGACAGGCUGAGGUCACUUAAUCCAGACAGUAGAUGGCCCUCGAUAAUUGCGCAACCCCAGCAAGAGUCUGCCUUGUUUCGUGCAACCUAGUUGGCCAUUGUUAGGGUUGAGCGACCUCCGCGAGAGUCACGCCAACAAAGGUUGCCUGGCUUUGCCUGGCCCAACCGGCCCUUGUUGGGGUUGAGCAACCUCGGCAAGGGAUCGUACGAGCUACGCGAUGUAGCUAACCCUUGUUGGGGUCGAGCAACCUUCAUGAGGGUCACUUCAAUGAGGGCUACUUGGGUUUGCACAACCCAACUGGCCCUUGCAGGGUUUGAGUGACCUUUGUGAGGGGUUGCAUGGGUUGCACGACACUCGUCCAAUCCUAGGUGGCCUUCGCCAUGGAUCUCUAGGGCAGACGACAACUGCUGGCAACAAAUCUAGAUCACCAACGGCCACCUGCCCUUGGUUUGUUAGGGGCAACAUAUUUUUUAGUACCUGAAAUGAUUUGUCAAUAUAAUCUUUCCAAACAUUAUUUUAUUUAAAAGUACUUCACGAUAAACUCUUACAUUACGAUUUAAUAAACAUGAUUUGCAUUUUGGAAAACUCAUUUAACUUAAAAGUAUUUUACAUUUUUCCAAAAAAAAUUCCCAAAAAUUUAACCAAACGCACCAAAGAGAGUGCACUAGGUAGUAUGGCAUUUGGGUGAAAGAGAGGAGAGAGGAGAGAACAGUGCGUGCAGCAUUUGGACAAGAGAGAGGGAAGAGAAGAGAGCAUGCAAGGAAGUGAUGUUUGGACCCACUUUGGAUCUGUGUUGCCAUUUCAAGUCCCUUCUUAUUUAUUGUACUAGCUACAUAAGAGAUACCUAAUAUUUUCUUCCUUCAACUUAGUGAAUCUAGAUGUGAUGUGAAGAGGUGACAAGACCAUUUCCUCGAACGUGGAUUACAGCAUCUACUUAAAGCCUAUCAAAAUAACAAGUCAUACCUCGAUGUAUUACCUCACUAGUCCUGUGCCAUCGGAUACACUUGACUCAAUGUGUGUUCCAAAAAGAGGAACUCCACGAGUCAUGACAUUCCAGAGGAUGUAUUUUUGCUACUAAGCUAUCAAACAAGAACAAGAACAACGAAAUUAUAGUCCUAUUCAAACAGUGGCAACACCUUCGGGGACAACCAUCGAAGCAGUUGCCGCCUCCUCCGAAACAUCAGCCACUGCGGCACCACUGACUUUAGGGCCAUCUGUGUUGGGUGCUGAUGGCCCUGAAUGAGGCCACAAUUUUUUGGUAGUGUACUCUGAGAAUAUUUCGCAAAUGAGGCCACAAUUUUCACCCUUUUUUACCGGAAGGACCCAUCGAAAAGGGGGCAGCAACUUGCGUUUUUUCACCCCGGGAGUAUCUCCCCUAAUAUUUGUGAUCGAGAUCAUACCACGAAAACUCCAAAUUGAUAUACCUACAAUAAUUUUUAAAUUAAUUUUUUAACUGUCAAAAACUCCAAACUAAUAAAACUCUUCGUUAGUUUACAUUAAAUUUUAUCAUCAAAUUAAUAACAUAUGACAAUUAAUGAGCGUACUAAUUUGAUGGCUUGCCUUUUAUUUGUCAUGUAUUGAUCUAAUUUGAUAAAGACUAAAGUAGAGUAAAAUUAUCAUAAAUAUACUAUUUUGAUAUUUUUGAUAAUAAAAAAGUCAGUUUAAAGUAAAUUUAUCAUAAAUAUAUCAAUUUGUAUAAUGUUAAUCCAUUGCUCAAAUAGCUCAAACUUUGAUUACGACAUAAAGUCCAUUUUCCAUUGAGAAAGUAUCGGUUGGUGUUGGGUCUUGAUAAUCCAUAGUUCAUACAAGGGAAAGGGAAAGAAUAUUAUCGAGGAAUACAAUGUAGCAAAGUGAAAAGUAAGGGGGGGGGGGGGGGGGACCAAAAUCGAAAGGUGUAUUUUGCACGUAUUUUCUAUCAUAUCCACACUCUCCACCAAUCAAAGGCGCACGGGUGACGUAUUUCGUCCAUACCCCUUGCUCUGAUUGCCACGUUUUAGUCUUAUCAAUAUCCCCAAAAUAUAGUAAAAGCCCUACACCCACUAACCCAAAAAAAGUUUCGAGGAAGAUGUCGUGGCAGCCUGGCAGGGACUUCAAUUGCCGCCUUAUUUUCAGAUGAUGAUGAUGGAAAGGUCCUCCACUCGAUACCAGCCAAAAAAAAAGAACAACUAGUAGUUAAACAGUCAACCAUGGCCCUUUUCGUAUUGACUGGGAAAAUGAUGCAGCUGGGCUAGAAGCCCGGCACAGAACAGACGGCCUUCGAAAAAAUAUCUGGUGCCUCUUAUGUAGCUAACAUAACCAAAAAAGAAGGGAUCUAAAACGGUGACACCAGACCCCAAACCUCAGAUUCCCAUCCACGCUCUCUUCUCCCUCCUCUCUCCUAUCUCCUCUCUUGCCCAAAUGCCAUACUCCUCUACACUCUCUCUCUCUCUCUCUCUCUCUCUCUCUCUCUCUCUCUAGCCCGACUCUCCCUCCCUUCGCCACCCCCUCUCUAUCCCACCAAGCCCUCGUUUGACCAACAAACUUUGCCCCAACAGAUGCGAAGCCACGGUUAUUCGUCCAACAAGGGUUCAAUUGUGAUUCGAAGGGGGGAAGAGAGAACAGCCGAUUGGGGACAGCAAAGCUAUAGUCGGAUCAGCGCUCUGGCUCAUCAGUUGGACAACGGCAUGAUCACUUGUUCCACGAACCACCUCAUAACCUCACCUCAAGGUUGUCUCCACCGUCACGAAGUUUGUCGAUCGAGCGCGAUGGCUCGUCUGGACGAAUCAUCGCACGGCUCUGCCUCCACAUAGAAAGGUUGCCUCCGCUGGCACAAGCCAACCCCAACGGAGAAGAAGAUGAGCAUCGCAAAUAAGGAUAAAAUCGAAAAACCAAAAAGAUAUGAUGGGUAAAAAUGACAAGACCAUCGCCUCGAGACACAAAGGAUAGCAUAGCAUCAACAUCAAGGAAGAGCCUAUAAGAAUAACAAGUCGUACCUUGAUGUAUUACCUCGCUAGUCCUGUCCCCUCGGUACAUGUGACCCAGUGUGUGUUCCAAAAAGAGGAACUCCACGAGUCAUGACGUCCGGAUGAUGUAUUUUUGCUACUAAGGCCCCGUUUAGUAAAUUUUUUAUUUUAUUUCCCGUAACAAUUAUUUAUGUUGUUUUGUCUCACGGAACAAAAAAAGAAUAGAAAUCUAUUUAGUAAAUUUUUUAUUUUUUAGAAUGAAAAAAGAAUAGAAACCCAUUUAGUAAAAUUUUGUUUCCAGGAAUAAAAAAUCCAUUUUUUUCCUGGGAAUAAAUUUGGAACAGAAACAAAAAAUAGAAAAAAAUAAAAUUUUAUUUCCAAGAAUAAUUCCUAAGAAUUGGAUGAACAAAAACAAAAAAUUUAUUUUUUCUUCUCUUCUCUCUUCUUCUUCUUCUCUCUCUCUCUCUUUUUUUUAAUUCUCUUUCAUUUUCUUCUACUUUCUUUUGGUCGGUUGCCAACUUUGGCCGUGGCCUGGUGAGGCUUCGGCUAGCUCGCCGGACCUUGCCUAGCCGGCAACUGGCCAAAGAGAAAAACAAAAAGAAAAAAGAGAAAAGAGAAAAAUAAGAAAAUAUAAUAAAAGUAUUAAAAAAUUAAAAGAAAUAAAAAAAAUUAAGAAACCUACCAAACGCAUUUUUAUCCCUAGAAUAAAAAUUUUAUGUAGUUAUCAAAGACCUUUUUUUGCUCAGAAAUUAUCCCUAAGAACAGAAUCAGCAAAGACCAUUUUUAAUAAAAAAUUGUUCUCCGCAACUAAAAAGGUUACGAAAUGCGUCCUAAACUAUCAAACAAGAACGAGAAUAAUGAAAUUAUAGUCCUAUUCAAGCAGCGACAACAGCUUCAAGGGCCGCCACCGAAGCAGUUGCCACCUUUUUCGGAAGCAUCAACCACUGCGGCACCACCUACUUUAGGUCCAUCUGAGUUGGGUGCCGAUGGCAGACAAAGCUUCAGGUGGGACGGAGCGUUGUGCUUCAAGAGAAUCUGUUGCAUCCUUGAAAUUUCGGUUGGCUUUCCUAGUUUAGGGCCUUGAACAACAACAGAGGGCUUCUUCUCUUGAUCCUUCUUUCCUCUGAGGAACUUCAUUAUGGAUGAGCUCUGCAAUCGCCUUCCAAUAGUUCUUGUCAGCCUUAGUGCGGAACUUCCCUAGGCUGGCCAAAAACAACUGAACCACGAAGGACAUAGCAUCAGAAAAGGCCAGUAACAUUACCAUGACAACAUCCCCUACCAGACUGCCAAAGGUGACCGCAUAAAAGCAAUGGUCCUAUGCAACUAUUAGUGCUCUGAUUCUUCGUGUUAUUUCACCUUGGAUUAAACAAUUGAUAAGAUGUCCUUGAUAUAUCAUAACGAAUAUAACCUAUGACAUUAACCAAAUUUAAUUCCAGACUAGUUAAGUUCAACCACAUUCAGUUUUUUCUCCAUCCUAUGCAACUUGUGUUAUUUCACCCAGUCACGAUAAAUCAAGUCUUAGAUGCAUUGUAACGAGUAUAACAUUGACACUAGUCAGAUUUCCAAUCAAUUGAGAUCAAAGACAUUCUGAUUUUCCCCAUCCUGCAUAAUAGCAAAUGUCCUAGGAAAUAACUAAGAUCUUAAUCAACACACGCCAGUAAUUUACUUUAAUUUGGUCCUAGAAUCUACUCCCCGUAAUCGCCAUUGUAUUUACAGCACUAAUAAGGAUUCCCCAAACACAUCGUGCCCUUUAAUCUUCCGCACCAACUACAAGGCAUUUUACCUCAUUAUAUUGAAUAAUGUCCGAAUUGUGUGCGCUACCAUAAAAAGUAUGAGGCUAAAGUGCAGUUCAAAUGCAUGAUAUACCGUUGGCGUGCUCCUCCUUUGCAAGAAUACUAUUUGAUCGUAGUGGGCAUUCGAUACUUAGAAUAGAAUUGUUUUAAAGGGUACUUUAACUUGAUUGACCCCAAUUUGCAAGCAUGGGAGCUACUAACGCACCUCAUACCUUAGACAUUAACAGAAAGCUGAUGCAUUGCAACUUAAUUUUCAACUCUCGAGUCAGCAUUAUGCAGUUCUUCACAAUGAUUACAAAAGAUCAUUUUUAAAUCAAUUUGAUUAACUAUUGCAAAUCUAAAAAUCAAAUACCAUGGCUUGAAUAUUCCACUAACAGUCGUCAGCACAACUUCCAUGAAUUAAAUGAUUACAAUUUAAUGCACUGAUGUGAUACAACGGAAUCAUAUAGAACCCCCCUGGCAAAAUUGUUACAGAAACAAUCACAAAAUAUAUAUAUAUAUAAUUCAAGUAUUAACAAAAGAUAAAUAUCAUGAAUUAAGCUUGCAACUGUAGAUUGGAAGCGCUCGCCUACUCAUUUUUCCUGUUGUUUGUCUUGUUCUCGCAUGUUAUCGUCCUUUUCCUGUAGAGCAUUUCCAAUUUCCCUAUCCUCUGUUUCAGGGAGUUCUAAAUUAAAGCUUUCACUUUCUGAAACAACAUCAGAAUCUUCCUCAUCAGGGUCAAACAUUUCAUCUCCAACUAAACGAUCAUUCAAGUCCUUAUGCUCACUUUCUUCAUGCUGAUGUUCACUGAUAUGAUCAGAAACUGGAGGCAGCAAUGGCUUUUCAUCUUGGUCUUUAUAAUCUGACAGGACAACAUACUUACGUUCAUCAAGCCGAGGCUUUGCAACGUUGAAGGGAACCCACCUGAGAUAUGCAGUAAAUAGCUUGCACAUUAACUUUGACAAUAUGCAGAAGUACUUAUUGCACAUGUUAAAGAAUAACUGAGCUCACAUAGUGACUAUUAAAUGUGAAGUAGUUGAACUAAAAGGGAUGAUGAGUUUAAAAGUUCACUUCCUCGCAAUUUGGAAGACCCUCAAGAAAUAAAGUUUCAUCCAAAGAAGGAGAGUGCAGGAGGGACGUACUGGUAACGGAGGGGACAUAGAAGCUCAGAUGGCCGAUACGCUGCUUUAUAUCUCAUCUUGCUGCAUGAAUGAAUGUAAUAGCCAAGGUAAUAAUACUGGAGACUGGGGCAGUGAACUCGAUUCUCCUUCACCCAAGAUAUUUCUUGCAAAGCCGAAUAUUUUCCCAGUGAUAAAAAGGCAAAGUCAGGGUCCCAAAAUAAAUAUUUACUCGACAAGCAUUUAGGAAGGAUAUCCACCACACCAACCGCAACUAAUCGGCCAUCAAUAACAUAUGACUGAUGGAAAGACCCAAAACCGCAGGGAGGAACUGAACCAUCACCGGUCGAGGGAACAAAAACCAAUGGUGUGUCAACCAAAAAACUCUCGUACCCUUCCUCUGUGAUAUCGUCUGGAUUGUCCUUGUGCACUUUCAACUGAUAUCGCCUGUACAACUCAAAUUCUUCACGCUCAAAACUGGAUCUUUUCAGAAGAAUCUCAAGCUUCCGCCUUUUUCCUGAACAACAGUUACAGCACCUCACCAUACAUCUUCUCUUGUUUCCAUUUCUCGUUGAAGAUUCUUUAGAGAGAGAUUUUUCUUCGCCAGUCUUAUCCGCUGAAGCGUGCUCUGCAAUAGAAUAAAAGUUCAGAUGUCCGUUACAUGCUUGGACCAAGAAGCCAGAUGUUUCAUCCGUUUGAGACAAUGACCGCGCCAACUUUUCUCCAAUCCUUCGAGGUGUCAACUCAGAAGGCAGUUGGUCUUCUGCUGAGAUUCCAGAGAAUUCUGACCCUUUUUCAUCCUUUUUUUCUGACCGCGCACGCCUUAAAGUGGCAGCCAAUUGGAAAGCAAUGUUACUGGUAUACGAGAGAUUUUCCAAUCCUUUGACUAGCUUCUUCUUCUUGGUUGGGGAGCCUCCUUUGACAGAAGCUUUAGGUAAUUGAAGAUUGGCAGAAAACGUCUCGCUUUCGAUACAUGCCUGCACAGCCUUAUCAAUUGCAUCAGACAAGUAAUGCAUAAAUUGUUCUGGCUCAUUCUUAUCCUCCUCCACGUCCACAGAAGUUUCAACCGUUGCCAAGUUUGACCUUCCAUGACAUUCACAUUCACAUGCCACUUUAGAAGUAUUUAAAUCCUCCAGGAGCUCAGGCUUGGCUUUGGUGUCCAGUGUACCAUCCAGAAACCUAGAAAAUAAUCACCAUGGUGAGAAAUUCUUGUACAUUAUAUCCAGAGUAUGCAGCUUUGCUAAAUCCUCACCUCAAAGGUAUAAUUCGGUUGAAAUGCACAAGUAGCCUAACAAUUUUUGCAACCAUUGCACUUGUUAAGUUUAGCUUCAUGGUGUAAAAAGACCGAGAAAUUUCUCAAGGAGUCAAAAAGCAAAGCUCUUUCACUUUGAGAAAUCUCCUAGGUUGGAAAGCUUAGUGACGUCAAACUAAAAUUCCACUCAUGGAGUUGUCCGUUGAAAUACCAUUCCAAUGCCUACCAGCCUCAGAGUGGGCAAAUAGUAUUUUUGAUGACCACUGGUCUAAUCAAUUGACAAAGAAUGGACUCCAAACUCGAAUGCUGUCUUGAAAACAGGGUGGUGGUCGAUUUUGCAAAAUCCAACGACGACGGACUGAUGAAAAAAAUCAUAUGUGAAGAUGCAAUGAUCCAAUGAAUAGAAUCCAUAAUGUAGAGAGGUUAUUAAAGUAAUACCUUUCCAUCCGUUUGCGUACUCGAUUUUGCUCCUUGGAAGGAGAAAAGUCCGCUGCUUUUAAGCGGAUAGUAUAAGAAGGGCAACACGUAGUACUCAUAUCUGGCUUGUAAAGGAAAGAGCCAGAUCUUCUCCAUCCUCGAUCAAGGAGAUCUACAGGAUGAGCAUCGAAGUAUGAAUUGCCACUCAAAAGAUAAAUGCACAAUCAUUGAAUGUACUAUAACAUCUAUCCGAGCCAUCAUUGCCACAGUAAGAAAACUAUUGGGAUAGAAACGACUCGAGUCGGAACUUCAGCAUCCACCAUAGCUCCAACAUGGUUUCUCUGAGCUCUUGCAGUUAAAAUACGCACAUACGGAAGCAUACGUGCGUGUCUUAACUGCUGAUAGAAUGAGUAGGCAUAAAUUUCCCUCAUACGGAUCAAGCAUUCGAAAUUUCUCUACUUCUUUCGACCAGACAUGUGCACAUAUUGAAACUACAUGAGCCGAGAGUCGAUUAGUUACAGCGCAUCGACAGUCCAGAGCUGCCCAGACUCUCAAAAUAGGAAAUCCCGCACCAACCUUGAUAGUCAUCCACGUUUAGGCUCUCCGCGAUCAAGCCUGCGAUCCAAGUCGAAGAGACGUUAAAAAACAAACAAUACGAAACGGGAAAAAAUCGUCACAGCAAGCCGACACACGCAACGAAGCGUCAGAUUGGAACUAAAGACUAAACGCGAAUCAGCAAUUCCAGCGACCGUGAACGUCACAACAGACGACAAAAGCCGGCAAAAAGCAAACCCGACGCACGGCAUCUCCAGUCCCGAGCCACCGGAGUCCGGGCAAAAACCGUACUCAACGACACGGGCGGGAGGCAAACAACGAGAAACGAAGGAGGAACCGUACGGACCGUGAGAAAUGCUGGACCGAUUGGACGAUCCGCAGUACCCGCAGGAGCUCCUCUGCCGGCCGCAGUCCAUGACCACCGACUUCCCCCUUCCGCCGCCGCCGCCGCCGCCUCCGCCUCUGUCGCUGCUGCUCGCCUCGCUGCGAUGAUGGGCCGCCAUGUUGGAACCAAAAGGACUUGGAGGGAGAGAGUACACACACAAAGAGAGAUUAUAUUACACAAUAUGCCUUUGUAAAGGCUUAAGAGAGUACACACUAACUUUGCUAAGUUUAAAACUCUCUCUAAAAACUCACUCUCUCACAAAAACACUCUCACACACUGAACUAACGUAACCCUAUAUCUAAAAGUACUUCACCGCAUGGACUUCAAACCUGCAAGAGUUAAAUUUGAACUUUACUUCUUGGCAGUCAAAAAAAAACGUCGGCUGCGUAUCUCUUCUUCUUGCUGUCUUCAGAGAGAAUAAAAUAUUGCCAUCCCCAAGUUGCUUUCCUUCCUUUCCUUCGUGCUCUUGGAGUCUUCAGCAGCAACUAUAAUAUUUUAUUGUGUGCCCAAGACUUGUACUUUCUUCAUGAUUUUUCUUCUCCGGCGGCUCAGAGAGACGUGGUGCUGUAGCACACGUUUCUUUGACGGUUUACAAACCUAAUAACUCUUAUUUACACACACACAGCCAAAAACAAUUAAAAGACAAAUAAGCUAGUCAAAACACAAAACCAAUUUUACUAUUUUCUAACAGCCUCCCUUAAAAUUGAUUUUGUAAGACUACGACACCAAGCAUUGUCUUCAAUUUCUCGAACAGAUCCGCCUUCAAUGGUUUUGUCAAAAUAUCUGCAAUCUGGUCUUCGGAUUUACAGAAAUCAAGUUCAAUCUCAUCUUCUUUAAUCAGCUCACGAAUAUAAUGAUACUUGAUGUCGAUAUGUUUGCUCCUGCCAUGAAAUACAGGAUUCUUGGCCAAUGCAAUUGCUGACUUGUUAUCACACAUCAAUUUAGUAGGACCUUUUUGUUCAUGCAUAAGCUCAAAAAGCAUCCUUCGAAGCCACAUCGCCUGACAUGCUGCUGAAGAUACUGCAAUGUAUUCUGCUUCAGUUGUUGAGAGUGCAAUAACUUGUUGUUUCUUUGAUGACCAAGAAAUUAUUCCUGAUCCAAGAAAGAACGCAUAUCCAGAAGUGCUCUUUCGUGUUUCAGUAUCACCUGCCCAAUCACUGUCUGUAUACCCCACUAAACUGAAGUUGUCAGUGUAAGAAUAUGAAAUUCCAUGAUCACGAGUUCCACUGACAUACCUUAAAAUUCUUUUUGCUGCUUGCAAAUGUGAUUGGUAUGGUUUCUCCAUAAACCGACUAAUAAUUCCCACGCCAUAAGUUAUAUCUGGCCUAGUGGUAGCCAAAUAUCUUAAACUGCCGACAAUACUUUUGAAAUAAGUGGGAUUUACCAGUUCACCGGUUCCUUCUUUCUUCAACUCCAACCGUUCUGCUACAGGAGUUCGAAUUGAUUUGAGCGUUUCCAUAUUGAAUCGCUUCAAAAUAUCAUUAGCAUACUUCUGCUGUGAAACAAAUAUGCCUUCAUUUGUCUGCUUCACUUCAAGGCCCAGAAAAUAGGACAUUAAUCCCAAGUCCGUCAUCUCAAAUUGACUUGUCAUGGCCUCCCUGAAUUCAGCAAACAUCUUCUCACAGCUUCCUGUAAAUAUCAAAUCAUCAACAUAAAGGCAAAUAAUUAUAAUAUUGCCGUUAGUAUUUGAUUUGAUAUACAGUGUAUGCUCAUAAGGGCACUUUUGAAAGCCAUGCUCCAACAGGUAAGUAUCAAUCCUCGUGUACCAAGCUCGAGGUGCCUGUUUUAGCCCAUACAACGCUUUCUUCAAUUUAUAAACUUGAUUUUCACGCCCUUUCUUCACAUAACCUUGUGGUUGCUCCACAUAUACUUCCUCAUCAAGAAAACCAUUAAGGAAUGCCGAUUUCACAUCCAUUUGAUGGAUUUUCCAACGGUUCUGAGCUGCAAGUGCCAAGAUCAUUCGAAUGGUAUCCAUUCGAGCCACCGGUGCAAAUACUUCAAAAUAAUCAAUACCUGGCUUUUGCUUGUAGCCUUUCACCACCAGUCUAGCUUUGUAACGGUCCACCUGACCGUUGGGUUUGCACUUCGUUUUGUACACCCACUUGACACCUAUAGGCUUCUUACCAGGUGGUAAAGAAGUUAGCACCCACGUGUCAUUCUUUUCAAUGGAGUGGAUUUCUUCAUCCAUUGCUUGGUUCCACUUCUCAUCUGCUGCUGCAUCAUCAUAGGAUAUGGGGUCACAUUCGGUAAAUAAACAAAAGUUUACCAUUGUUUCAUCAGUGAUUUCGUCACUGUCAUUAUGAUCAACUCUUGUGACCACAUAAUCCUUGAAUUUUACUGGCGUCUUUUGCGGUCGUUGUGAACGACGAAUCAAUGGUUCUGCAGUCGUUGCUGGUGAGGAGGAUGAACUACCAGGUGAAAGUGAUGGAUCUUCAAUUGAAGAUUCUUCGGUCUCCCUCAUCAAUGGUUCAUCUUCCAUAGGAAUGUCUUUCUGGUCAGCCUUUUGAUUCCAGUCCCAGGCUUCAUCUUCAAAAAAUUGGACAUCCCUGCUAAUAAUUACCUUCUCCGUGACAGGAUUAUAUAGCUUAUAACCCUUAGUCACAUUACUAUAUCCAAUGAAAAUGCACUUCUCGCUUUUAUCAUCCAACUUUUUUCUUCGUUCGUCCGGUAUAUGGGGAUAUGCUACACACCCAAAUACCCGUAGGAACGAAACAUCUGGCUUGUUGCCGCUCCAAGCCUCUUCUGGAGUUCUUCCAAGAACACUCCUUGUUGGACACCUAUUCAACACAAAUACAGCACAAGCAACGGCUUCCGCCCAAAACUUCUUCGGAAUGCUUUAGCCUUUAGCAUACUUCUUGCCAUUUCAAAAAUUGUUCUAUUCUUUCUUUCUACUAUACCAUUUUGCUGAGGAGUAUAGCUAGCAGUCAACUGACGUUUCACUCCAUGAAUUUUACAAUAAUUGUCAAAUUCAUUGGAAGUAAACUCUCCACCUCUAUCCAAUCUCAAUGUCUUUAAAUUAAGGCCACUCUGUUUCUCAACAUAGACUUUGAAUUCUUUAAAUUUGCCAAAAGCUUCGGAUUUUUCUCUCAAAAAAUAAGCCCAUGUUUUUCUAGUAAAAUCAUCGACAAAAAUUAGUGUGUACCUUUUUUGUCCAAAUGAUUCUACCUCAACAGGACCACAGAUAUCUGCAUGUACCAACUUCAGAGGUUGCUUGGCUCUUCUAGCUCUCCCAAUUGGAAACGAUUUCCGAUGUUGCUUUCCAACGAGACAUCCUUCACAUGAGCGGUCUGGAGCAUCGAUCAAGGGCAUGCCAGUCACCAUCUUUUUCUGGACUAGUAAUUUAAGUCCACGAAAAUUUAGAUGACCGAACCGAAGAUGCCAUAGCCACUUGCUAUCUUUUGUCGUUGCUUGGAAACUCAAUAGAGUCUUCGUCUGAAGGGAUAGAGGAAACAUCCGGUUCUUCGUCAUCUGUGUCGUCGUAAUCAACUUAUUGUUUGAGCCUCUAAUGGUGCACACACCAUUUUCAAUGUUAACUUUGUGGCCUUUUUCGGAUAGUUGCCCAACACUCGGCAAAUUCCAAAAGAGUCCCACCACAAAGUAAACGUCUGCAAUAGUAACAUUAGUACCAUCUUUUGAGUUGAUAUCAAUGUUACCUUUGCCCAUCACGAGAAUUUUGGAUUUAUUCCCGAAGUUGACUUCACCACGAACCGUCUCAUCUAACUUCGAAAAUAGCUCCUUUUGACCACACAUGUGAUUGCUGCACCCAGUAUCAAGAUACCAAAUUUUUGUGUCCAUGGUACUUGAGUCAUCCAUUUGGCAUGCUAACACCACGCCUUCAUUUGCAUUGACAGCGUGCACAUAUUCUGGCUGCUCUUGCCCCCUGUUUGCUCGACAUUCGGAUUUGUAAUGUCCGAAUUUGUUACAGUUAAAACACUUGACUUUUGAUUUGUCACGUGUUUGAUAUCUUUUAGUGGAAUUCAGAUUUCCACCUCUACCUCGGGCACCACCACGACCUCCACGACCUCGGGCACCAUGAUGACCUCCUCGAUUUGAUUGAGUGACCCGACUUUGCAGUGCUUGCUCAGAAUUCGAACUGAUAGACUUUUGGUUCAUUCUUUGCUCAUGCGAACAUAAUGAACCCAUCAACCUCUCCAACGUCAUGGUUGAUAUAUCUUGGCCUUCUUCGAUCGCCGCAACGACGUAGUCAAAUCUUUCAGUCAAAGACCUCAAAAUUUUUUCUACGACUCGUACAUCUUGGAGCUCUUCACCAUUAACCCUCAGUUGGUUAACGAUGGUUUGUACACGAUCAAAGUAAGCCGAGAUAGAUUCUGAGUCAUUCAUGCGUAAAGACUCAAAAUCUCCUCGAAGUGUUUGGAGCCGCACCCGCCUGACACGAUCAUCACCUUUGUAGGAUUUUUGCAAUAUAUCCCACGCUUCUUUCGCUGUCUCCGCACUCGAUAUUUUCUCAAAUAUCGUCUCCUCCACAGCUUGAAAGAUCGCAUAUAAUGCUUUCUGAUCUUUCUUUCGAGAUUCCACCAACGCUUCUUUCUCCUCCUUCCUCAAAGCAUUGAAUUCUUCAACAUCAGCUACUUCGGUGUAGCCGUUCUCCACCAGGUUCCACAAAUCUUGGGACCUGAAUAGAACCUUCAUCUGGACGGACCAGUUGUUGUAAUUUUUUCCAUUCAACUUUGGAAGUUGCAACUGAACAGAACUAGUGGAUGCCAUUGCUAGCUCUGAUACCAAUUGUUGGAACCAAAAGGACUUGGAGGGAGAGAGUACACACACAAAGAGAGAUUAUAUUACACAAUAUGCCUUUGUAAAGGCUUAAGAGAGUACACACACUAACUUUGCUAAGCUUAAAACUCUCUCUAAAAUCUCCUCUCUCACUCACAAAAAGAAAACUAACGUAACCCUAUAUCAAUAAGCACUUCACUGCCUGGACUUCAAACAUGCAAGAGUUGAAGUUGAAUUUUUCUUCUUGGCAGUCAAAAAUUGUGGGCUGCGUUUCCUUCACGUGCAAGUUGCAAGCCACAAGAUCACCUUCCUUCGUACUUCUUGAGAUCUCCAGCAGCUAGUGUAAUAAUAUUUUAUUGUGUGCCCAAGAUACUUGUACUUUCUUCAUGAUUUUUCUUCUCCGGCGGCUUAGAAAGACGUGGUGCUGUAGCACACGUUUCUUUGACGGUUUACAAACCGACUAACUCUUGCUUUCACACACAUAGCCAAAAAACAAUUAAAAGACAAAUAAGAUAAUCAAAACACAAAACCAAUUUUACUAUUUUCUAACAAGCCUGGCAUCACACUUGCCAUCGGCUGUUGCUGACUUUGUAGCAUUGUCUUCAAUUUCUCGAACAGAUCCGCCUUCAAUGGUUUUGUCAAAAUAUCUGCAAUCUGGUCUUCGGAUUUACAGAAAUCAAGUUCAAUCUCAUCUUCUUUAAUCAGCUCACGAAUAUAAUGAUACUUGAUGUCGAUAUGUUUGCUCCUGCCAUGAAAUACAGGAUUCUUGGCCAAUGCAAUUGCUGACUUGUUAUCACACAUCAAUUUAGUAGGACCUUUUUGUUCAUGCAUAAGCUCAAAAAGCAUCCUUCGAAGCCACAUCGCCUGACAUGCUGCUGAAGAUACUGCAAUGUAUUCUGCUUCAGUUGUUGAGAGUGCAAUAACUUGUUGUUUCUUUGAUGACCAAGAAAUUAUUCCUGAUCCAAGAAAGAACGCAUAUCCAGAAGUGCUCUUUCGUGUUUCAGUAUCACCUGCCCAAUCACUGUCUGUAUACCCCACUAAACUGAAGUUGUCAGUGUAAGAAUAUGAAAUUCCAUGAUCACGAGUUCCACUGACAUACCUUAAAAUUCUUUUUGCUGCUUGCAAAUGUGAUUGGUAUGGUUUCUCCAUAAACCGACUAAUAAUUCCCACGCCAUAAGUUAUAUCUGGCCUAGUGGUAGCCAAAUAUCUUAAACUGCCGACAAUACUUUUGAAAUAAGUGGGAUUUACCAGUUCACCGGUUCCUUCUUUCUUCAACUCCAACCGUUCUGCUACAGGAGUUCGAAUUGAUUUGAGCGUUUCCAUAUUGAAUCGCUUCAAAAUAUCAUUAGCAUACUUCUGCUGUGAAACAAAUAUGCCUUCAUUUGUCUGCUUCACUUCAAGGCCCAGAAAAUAGGACAUUAAUCCCAAGUCCGUCAUCUCAAAUUGACUUGUCAUGGCCUCCCUGAAUUCAGCAAACAUCUUCUCACAGCUUCCUGUAAAUAUCAAAUCAUCAACAUAAAGGCAAAUAAUUAUAAUAUUGCCGUUAGUAUUUGAUUUGAUAUACAGUGUAUGCUCAUAAGGGCACUUUUGAAAGCCAUGCUCCAACAGGUAAGUAUCAAUCCUCGUGUACCAAGCUCGAGGUGCCUGUUUUAGCCCAUACAACGCUUUCUUCAAUUUAUAAACUUGAUUUUCACGCCCUUUCUUCACAUAACCUUGUGGUUGCUCCACAUAUACUUCCUCAUCAAGAAAACCAUUAAGGAAUGCCGAUUUCACAUCCAUUUGAUGGAUUUUCCAACGGUUCUGAGCUGCAAGUGCCAAGAUCAUUCGAAUGGUAUCCAUUCGAGCCACCGGUGCAAAUACUUCAAAAUAAUCAAUACCUGGCUUUUGCUUGUAGCCUUUCACCACCAGUCUAGCUUUGUAACGGUCCACCUGACCGUUGGGUUUGCACUUCGUUUUGUACACCCACUUGACACCUAUAGGCUUCUUACCAGGUGGUAAAGAAGUUAGCACCCACGUGUCAUUCUUUUCAAUGGAGUGGAUUUCUUCAUCCAUUGCUUGGUUCCACUUCUCAUCUGCUGCUGCAUCAUCAUAGGAUAUGGGGUCACAUUCGGUAAAUAAACAAAAGUUUACCAUUGUUUCAUCAGUGAUUUCGUCACUGUCAUUAUGAUCAACUCUUGUGACCACAUAAUCCUUGAAUUUUACUGGCGUCUUUUGCGGUCGUUGUGAACGACGAAUCAAUGGUUCUGCAGUCGUUGCUGGUGAGGAGGAUGAACUACCAGGUGAAAGUGAUGGAUCUUCAAUUGAAGAUUCUUCGGUCUCCCUCAUCAAUGGUUCAUCUUCCAUAGGAAUGUCUUUCUGGUCAGCCUUUUGAUUCCAGUCCCAGGCUUCAUCUUCAAAAAAUUGGACAUCCCUGCUAAUAAUUACCUUCUCCGUGACAGGAUUAUAUAGCUUAUAACCCUUAGUCACAUUACUAUAUCCAAUGAAAAUGCACUUCUCGCUUUUAUCAUCCAACUUUUUUCUUCGUUCGUCCGGUAUAUGGGGAUAUGCUACACACCCAAAUACCCGUAGGAACGAAACAUCUGGCUUGUUGCCGCUCCAAGCCUCUUCUGGAGUUCUUCCAAGAACACUCCUUGUUGGACACCUAUUCAACACAAAUACAGCACAAGCAACGGCUUCCGCCCAAAACUUCUUCGGUAAUGCUUUAGCCUUUAGCAUACUUCUUGCCAUUUCAAAAAUUGUUCUAUUCUUUCUUUCUGCUAUACCGUUUUGCUGAGGAGUAUAGCUAGCAGUCAACUGACGUUUCAAUCCAUGAAUUUUACAAUAAUUGUCAAAUUCAUUGGAAGUAAACUCUCCACCUCUAUCCGAUCUCAAUGUCUUUAAAUUAAAGCCACUCUGUUUCUCAACAUAGACUUUGAAUUCUUUAAAUUUGCCAAAAGCUUCGGAUUUUUCUCUCAAAAAAUAAGCCCAUGUUCUUCUAGUAAAAUCAUCGACAAAAAUUAGCGUGUACCUUUUUUGUCCAAAUGAUUCCACCUCAACAGGGCCACAGAUAUCUGUAUGUACCAACUCCAGAGGUUGCUUGGCUCUUCUAGUUCUCCCAAUUGGAAAAGAUUUCCGAUGUUGCUUUCCAACGAGACAUCCUUCACAUGAGCGGUCUGGAGCGUCGAUCAAGGGCAUGCCAGUCACCAUCUUUUUCUGGACUAGUAAUUUAAGUCCACAAAAAUUUAGAUGACCGAACCGAAGAUGCCAUAGCCACUUGCUAUCUUUUGUCGUUGCUUGGAAAUUCAAUAGAGUCUUCGUCUGAAGGGAUAGAGGAAACAUCCGGUUCUUCGUCAUCCGUGUCGUUGUAAUCAACUUAUUGUUUGCGCCUCUAAUGGUGCACACACCAUUUUCAAUGUUAACUUUGUGGCCUUUUUCGGAUAGUUGCCCAACACUCAGCAAAUUCCAAAAGAGUCCCGGCACAAAGUAAACAUCUGCAAUAGUAACAUUAGUACCAUCUUUUGAGUUGAUAUCAAUGUUACCUUUGCCCAUCACGAGAAUUUUGGAUUUAUUCCCGAAGUUGACUUCACCACGAACCGUCUCAUCUAACUUCGAAAAUAGCUCCUUUUGACCACACAUGUGAUUGCUGCACCCAGUAUCAAGAUACCAAAUUUUUGUGUCCAUGGUACUUGAGUCAUCCAUUUGGCAUGCUAACACCACGCCUUCAUUUGCAUUGACAGCGUGCACAUAUUCUGGCUGCUCUUGCCCCCUGUUUGCUCGACAUUCGGAUUUGUAAUGUCCGAAUUUGUUACAGUUAAAACACUUGACUUUUGAUUUGUCACGUGUUUGAUAUCUUUUAGUGGAAUUCAGAUUUCCACCUCUACCUCGGGCACCACCACGACCUCCACGACCUCGGGCACCAUGAUGACCUCCUCGAUUUGAUUGAGUGACCCGACUUUGCAGUGCUUGCUCAGAAUUCGAACUGAUAGACUUUUGGUUCAUUCUUUGCUCAUGCGAACAUAAUGAACCCAUCAACCUCUCCAACGUCAUGGUUGAUAUAUCUUGGCCUUCUUCGAUCGCCGCAACGACGUAGUCAAAUCUUUCAGUCAAAGACCUCAAAAUUUUUUCUACGACUCGUACAUCUUGGAGCUCUUCACCAUUAACCCUCAGUUGGUUAACGAUGGUUUGUACACGAUCAAAGUAAGCCGAGAUAGAUUCUGAGUCAUUCAUGCGUAAAGACUCAAAAUCUCCUCGAAGUGUUUGGAGCCGCACCCGCCUGACACGAUCAUCACCUUUGUAGGAUUUUUGCAAUAUAUCCCACGCUUCUUUCGCUGUCUCCGCACUCGAUAUUUUCUCAAAUAUCGUCUCCUCCACAGCUUGAAAGAUCGCAUAUAAUGCUUUCUGAUCUUUCUUUCGAGAUUCCACCAACGCUUCUUUCUCCUCCUUCCUCAAAGCAUUGAAUUCUUCAACAUCAGCUACUUCGGUGUAGCCGUUCUCCACCAGGUUCCACAAAUCUUGGGACCUGAAUAGAACCUUCAUCUGGACGACCAGUUGUUGUAAUUUUUUCCGUUCAACUUCGGAAGUUACAUCUGAACGGAACUAGUGGAUGCCAUUGCUAGCUCUGAUACCAAUUGUUGGAACCAAAAGGACUUGGAGGGAGAGAGUAUACACACAAAGAGAUAUUAUAUUACACAAUAUGCCUUUGUAAAGGCUUAAGAGAGUACACACUAACUUUGCUAAGUUUAAAACUCUCUCUAAAAACUCACUCUCUCACAAAAACACUCUCACACACUGAACUAACGUAACCCUAUAUCUAAAAGUACUUCACCGCAUGGACUUCAAACCUGCAAGAGUUAAAUUUGAACUUUACUUCUUGGCAGUCAAAAAAAAACGUGGGCUGCGUAUCUCUUCUUCUUGCUGUCUUCAGAGAGAAUAAAAUAUUGCCAUCCCCAAGUUGCUUUCCUUCCUUUCCUUCGUGCUCUUGGAGUCUUCAGCAGCAACUAUAAUAUUUUAUUGUGUGCCCAAGACUUGUACUUUCUUCAUGAUUUUUCUUCUCCGGCGGCUUAGAGAGACGUGGUGCUGUAGCACACGUUUCUUUGACGGUUUACAAACCUAAUAACUCUUAUUUACACACACAGCCAAAAAACAAUUAAAAGACAAAUAAGCUAGUCAAAACACAAAACCAAUUUUACUAUUUUCUAACACGCCAUCUCCGAUCGAAGCUCCUUCCCUUCAACUAUUCAUCACCAAAGCAGAGGCGGAAAAAGGGCGAGGAAAUUGCCGGCGUCUCCGAUGUCGACGAGCUUCUAAUCUGGUGUGGAGCGAAGAAGAGGAGGGGCGACCGGGACCGGGUGCAGUCCGUUUCCGGAAUUUGGAUAUAUAAUCCGUGGGCUCUUCCUUCAAGCUCUUCUUGACUCGGCUAGGCGGUUUAACCCCCCCUUCUCCGGUUUUCCUUCCUCCCCCAGGGUCUUUCCUCGGAAAAGAGACAAAAGAAAAGUAUCAUCUCCAUUUUCAUUUUCAUUUUUAUUUUUUUUUGCUUUUCUGGUGGCGUACUCUGAGAAUAUUUCCCGAACGAGGCCACAAUUUUCACCCUCUUUUACCGCAAAGGCCCAUCGAAAGGUGGGCGGCAACUUGCGUUUUUUCACCCCGGGAGUCUCUCCCCUAAUAUUUGCCACUGCGAUCAUACGAUGAAAACUCGAAAUUAAUAUACUUACAAUAAAUUAAUUUUGAAUUAAUUUUUUAACUGUCAAAAACUUCAAACUGAUAAACUCUUUGUUAGUUUACAUUAAAUUUUACCAUUAAAUUAAUAAUAUAUGAUAAUUCAUGAACGUACUAGUUUGGAGACUUACUUUUUAUUUAUCAUAUAUGUUCUACUUUGUGAUUUUUUAAGGUAUUGAUCUAAUUUAAAGACUAAAGUAGAGUAAAACUAUCAUAAAUAUACUAUUUUGAUAUUUUGAGUAAUAAAAAAAUCAAUUUAGAGUAAAUUUAUCAUAUAUAUAUAUAUAUAUAUCAAUGUUAAUCCAUUGCUCAAAUAGCUCAAACUUCGAUUACGACAUAAAGUCCAUUUUCCAUUGAGAAAGUACAAGUUGGUGUUGGGUGUUGAUAGUCCAUAGUUCAUACAAGGGAAAGGGAAAGAAUAUUAUCGAAGAAUACAAUGUAGCAAAAUGAAAAGUAAGGGGGGACCAAAAUCGAAAGAUGUAUUUGCACGUUUUUUCUAUCAUAUCCACACUCUCCACCAAUCAAAGGCGCACGGGUGACGUAUUUCGUUCAUACCCCUUGCUCUGAUUGCCACGUUCGUAGUCUUAUCGCUAUCCCCAAAAUAUAGUAAAAGCCCUACACCCACUAACCAAUAAAAAGUUUGAGAAAGAUGUCGUGGCAACCUGGCAGGGACUUCAAUUGCCGCCUUAUUUUCAGAUGAUACCAGCCAAAAAAAGAAAAAGACAAAAAAGAACAACUAGUAGUUAAACAGUCAACCAUGGCCCUUUUCAUAUUGACUUGGGAAAUGAUGCACGGGGGCUAGAAGCCCGGGACAGAACAGACGCCUUCAACUCCAGAAAAUAUUUUGGUGCCUCUCACGUAACUAGCAUAACAAAACAAAAAAAAAAAAAAAAGAGAUCUAAAGAGGUGAGGCACGUUUAAAGUAGGCCCAAACGCCAGAUUCCCAUGCACGCUCUCUCCUAUCUCCUCUCUUUGCCCAAAUGCCAUACUCCUCUACACACGCUCUCUCUCUCUCUCUUCGCCACCCCCUCUCUAUCCCUCUGAGCCCUCGUUUGACCGACAAGCUUUCCCCCAAUGGAGGCAAAGCCACGUUUAUUCGUCCAAUUUAUUCGUCCAAUGAGGGUUCGAUCGUGACUUGAAGGGGAAAAGAGAGAACAGUCGAUGGGGGGUAGCGAGCUAUCAUCAGACCAGCGCUGUGGCUCGUCGGUUAGACAAGGGCACGAUGGCUCGUUCGCCGAACCACCGCACAUGCCUCGAGGUUGUCUACACCGUUGCGAAGUUCAUCGAUCAAGCAUGGUGGCUCAUCUAACAAACCAUCGCGGGGCUCUGCCUCCGCUUAGAAAGAUUACCUCCUCUAGCACUAGCCGACCCCAACGGAGAAGAAGAUGAACAGUCGCAAAUAAGGGCAAAAUCGAAAAAUCAAAAAGUCAGCCAAGAUAUUGGGUGUUUGAUAGAAUUUUUGAACCCACCUUGAGAAAAAGUUUGCAUUUAAAAGGCUAAAAGCUCGAGGAGAUUGUAGGUUAUCUUAGGCUUCCAUCCUUCUCAAUAUGCAAGAAGGCAGGGGGAGGUAAAAAAAUUUCUUUUUAAACUAUCCUUCCUAACUUUUUGAUUUUCCGAUUUUGCCCUUAUUUGCGACUAUUCGUCUUCUUCUUUGUGGGGGCUAGCUAGCGUGUCGACAAUGGGCCAAAGAGAGGUUGGUGUAAUUGUAGCGAUCUAGGCGAUCGUCGCCGAGGGUCAUGUGACCUGGGUGAGUGCCAUCUAGGUUGCACAAGGUAGCCUAAGGUCACUUGAUCCGAACAGUAGAUGGCCCUCGUCACUUGCAAAACCCCGACAAGAGUCUACCCUGUUUCAUGCAACCUAGUUGGCCCUUGUUAUGGUUGAGCGACCUCCGCGGGGGUCACGCUAGCAAAGGUUGCCUAGGUUUGUGUGACCUAACUAGCCCUCAUUGGAGUCAAGCAACCUCGACAAGGGGUUGCGCGAGCUAUGCGACCUAGCUAACCCUCAUUGGGGCGAAGCAACCUUCACGAGGGUCACAUCGAUGAGGGCUACUUGGGUUUUGCAUGACCUAGCUAGCCCUUAUGAGGGUCGAGUGACCUUUAUGAGGGGUUGCCUGGGUCACACGACACUCAUUAGGGCUCGCCCAACCCUAGGCAGCCUUCACCAAUGGUCUCUAGGGCAGAUGACCACCAUCGGCAACAGAUCAAGAUCGCCUACCCUUGGUUUAUUAGGGCUAGUUAUUUUAUUUUUUUUAUAAAAAAAAACUAAAAUGCUUUGUAUGUAUAAUUUUUUCAAAUAUUAUUUUACUCAAAAGUACUUCACAAUGAACUCUUAGAGUAUAAUUUAAUAAACAUGAUUUAUAUUUUGAAAAAAAAUUUUAACUUAAAAGUUCUUUGCAUUUUUUCAAAGGCUUUUUUAAAAAUCCAACGAGAGGCGCGUGCACAAGGGAGUCUAGCAUUUGGGCGAGAGAGAGGAGAGAACAGCACGUGCAGCAUUUGGACGAGAGAGAGGAGAGAGGAGAGCAUGCAAGGAAGUGACGUUUGGACCCACUUUGGACAUGUGUCACCAUUUUAGGUCUUUUUCUUUUUUAAUUAUGCUGGCUACACAAGAGGCAUCUAAUAUUUUCUUCAAAUCUAGAUGUGAUAUGAAGAGAUGGCAAGAUUGUCACCUCGAACGUCGAUUACAUAAAUGAUAACAUAGUAUCAGCAUCUACAAAAAGCCUAUCAGAAUAACAAGUCAUAUCUCAAUGUAUUACUUCGCUAGUCCCGUGCCAUCGGAUACACUUGACCCAAUGUGUGCUCCAGUCAAGCAGCGACAACUGCAUCGGUCGGCAAUAGCUUCAGGGGCGACCACCAAAGCAGUUGUUGCCUCCUCUAAAGCAUCAGCCACUGCGGCAUCACUGACUUCAGGGUCAUCUGUGUUGGGUGCCGAUGGCGGCCAAAGCUUCAAGUGGGACGGAGCACUGUGCUUCAAGAGAAUCUGUUGCAACCUUGAAAUUUCGGUUGGUUUUCCUGGUUUAGGGGCUCGGACAACGACAACAGAGGGCUUCUUCUCUUUGAUCCUUCUUUCCUCUCUUAUUUUCUAUGGUGGGAACUUCAUUAGGGAGGAGCUCUACAAUCGCCUUCCAGUAGUUCUUGUCAGCCUCAGUGUGCCUCAGUGUGGAACUUCCGUAGGCUAGCCAAAAACAACUGAACCACGAAGGACAUAGCAUCAGAAAAGGCCAAUAACAUUACCAUGACAACAUCCCCUACCAGAUUGCCAAAGGUGACCGCAUAAAAGCAAUGGUCCUAUGCAACUAUCAGUGCUAUGAUUUUUCGUGUUAUUUCACCCCGUACUGGAUUAAACAAUAGAUAAGAUGUCCUUGAUGUAUCAUAAUGAACAUAACCUAUGACAUUAACCCAAUUUAAUUUCAGACUAGUUAAGUUCAACUACAUUCAGUUUCUUCCCCAUCCUAUGCAACUUGUGUUAUUUCACCCAGUCCCAAUAGUAUUAAGUCCUAGAUGUAUUGUAACGAGUACAACAUUGACACUAGUCAGAUUUCUAACUAGUUGAGGUCAAAGACAUUUUGAUUUUCCCCAUCCUACAUGAUACCAAAUGUCCCAGGAAAUAACCGAGAUUCUAAUCACUUUCAUAUGAUAUGAACACACGCUAGUAAUCUACUUUAAUUUGGUCCUAGAAUCUACUCUCCAUAAUCGCCGGUGUAUUUAUAGCACUAAUAACAAUUCCCCAAACACAUCGUGCCCUUUACCCUUCUCCACCAACUACAAUGCAUUUUACCUCAUUAUAUCGAAUAAUGUCGGAUGGUGUGCACUACCAUAAAAAGGUAUGAGGCUAAAGUGCAGUUCAAACACAUGAUAUACCAUUGGCGUGCCCCUCCUUUGCAAAAAUACUAUUUGAUCGUAGUGGGCAUUCGAUACUUAGAAUUGUUUCUAAAGGGUACUUUAACUUGAUUGACUCCAAUUUGCAAGCAUGGGAGCUACUAACGCUUCUCAUACCUUAGACAUUAUCAGCCUACAUUAACAGAAGGCUGAUGCAUUGGAACUUAAAUUUCAAAUCUUGAGUCAGCAUUAUGCAGUUCUUCACAAUGAUUGCAAAAGAUCAAUUUUAAAUCAAUUUGAUUAACUGUUGCAAGUUUAAAAAUCAAAUACCAUGGCUUGAAUAUUCCACUAACAGUCGUCAGCACAACUUCCAUGAAUUAAAUGAUCACAAUUUAAUGCACUGGGCCAAAUUGUUAAAAAAAUACAUAUAAAAUUCAAGUAUGAACAAAAGAUAAACAUCAUGAAUUAAGUUUGCAAUUGCAGAUUGGAAGGGCUCGCCUUCUCAUUUUCCCCGUUGGUUGUCUUGUUGUUCUAACAUGUUAUCAUCCUUUUCCUGUAGAACUCAAUUUUAUACUCAUCUGCUUCACCAAUUAUUUGGUUUUUUUUUUGGUCGAAACACCAAUUAUUUGGUUCAAUAGCUCUUUCUCCAUCUUCUCUUUCUCUUCCAAUCGAACUGCAUUUUUCCUUUGCAUUGCAACAAAUUUUUAUUAUAAUAUAUCACGUAGAGAAGGGGAAAAAAAAAAAAAAGAGGAAGUACAUAGUGCCCCACAAAAGCAGGAAUUUUGCUUUGAUCAAGGUUAACAGUCACCAGCACUGAAGGGAUUUACAAGUAAAGCAAGACCUUAUAUUAUUUCUUUAGUAAAGUCUAAGCACAGAAUUGAACAAUGGGUAAUUAAAUUCGUACCUAAUCAUUGGGUAAUAUCAUAUUGGAACUCUUGGAUUUCUAAUAUCCACUGUCGUCCUUUAAAAACUUUGAAGCUAUGCGAUAAUCAUACUUUCAAAACUAUUAAAUCAAUCCAGUCGUUAUUUCAUGGUGGUUUGGUCCUUCAAUAAAUAAGCAGUCAUUGGCUUUGAUUUCAACGUUCCCCCUCCCCUCAAUCCCCAUCCCUCUCCUCUUGAGGGCUUCUACAAUCGCCUAAGUUGGUUAACAUUAGAUCAGGCAAGAAUUAAUUCCAUUCACUACGGCAUUUUCAUGUUAUUGUGUGCUAAGGCUUUUUCUAUAGGAGCUACGACAAAAUGCAUGUGAUCUCACGGAAAAAAAAAGAGUAUAUAUAUAUUAUCUUCAAAAUCUAGAUAAGAUCGCAUGGACUCAAUUGUGAAGGCCAUGGAAAUCCAUAAGCAGAUGGGAAUUUGAGAUUCUGCAAGCCCCAGGACAAUCACACAAAGUUAACAGGAUUUUCGAGAAGUGAGAGAAUUCUGGGGCUGCUAUUAGCCAUUAGGUGGGUAUGAGUGUCGAGGGUUCUCGUCCCAAUUGUCCCAGGUCCCUUCCAAUCCCCAACUUGCGAAUUCAAUCUCUGAAGCAUUGCAAAGAUCAUAAUUUUUCCCACAGAAUUAGCACCACUACGAGGUCAUCUGAAGUGAUCCUACAUGAUAACAGUACUAAGAUGCUCUAACAGCCAAAAAAAUUCCCUCUAUUCACUCAAAAGUGCGGCUUUCUCUUUCUAGAAGUCUAUUUUCCCCGACUUAACUCAGCGAUUAUAGCAUCACUUUCAUAGCACGAGAAUCAUCGGUAUUGCUCUUUAAGCUAAUCAUCGCACUACACUUAAGAUCAGAGAACAAAGCUCUUCAAACCACCACACUGAUAUGACCACAAGACAUCUCUCCCCAGAGAGAAUGAUCCAUAGAAGACUCAAAAUUCUGUAACAUCGCGAGACUCACAUCCUCCACUCUCUCAAAGCAAAUUGUUCCUCAGGCUGCAUCUCCAUCGGGGGUGGCAAAACGGGGCCGUCCGCCUCGUCCGUCGAGAACUGCCCAGCCACAGCGUAGACCGGACAGUCGGCCGGCACAUGCUCCAAGAAAAAACCAUCCACGGAAGCGAAGCCGCCGGCAUCGUCGUCGUCGUCACCCUCCUCCUCCUCAAGUGAAUAGACCAUUCGCUCAGACAACUCUCGACCGACCACUCUCACAUACCUCUGCACUUGGGCUUCGAGCUCAACAAGACCAAAGGCCCCUUGCAGAUCCUUCAUAGAAGAAAUAGACCAGUGAGCCAUUUGGUGUAUCAAGUGUACAUACAGGCAACUCACAAGACGGAUCUCUGUUCAAGACACCAAGUAGAUUAUGUAAUUAUGUGAGUUCCAUCAAUUGAAAAAAACACACUUAAUUCUUUUUCUGUGAGGGGUAAAAUCAACUAAAUAAUUGGAGGCACGAAUUAGAGAAAAGCAGGGCACUAGCUGAAGAACUGUCCAGACAAUAACCCAUUGGCUUCUCUUCUCUAUAUUAACCAAAAUGCCAGUGGAAACUCAAAAUGACAUUCAACAGUGAAACAUCCAAUAACAGACGCAAAAGGAUCUUCUCACCCAAUAAGAAAGGAGAUUUAGAGUUGCUGAUGAACUUUUCAUACCUUGUAUCUCAGGCGAGACCCCCGUAAUCCUAUUAGAGCUUUUCCAAUAUCCCUAUCCUCCAUUUCAGAAACUGGAGGCAGCACUGGCUUUUCAUCUUCAUCUUUAUAAUCUGACAGGACAACAUACUUUCUUUCAUCAAGCUGAGGCUUUGCAACGUUGAAGGGAACCCACCUGAGAUAUGCAUUAACUAGCUUGCACAUUAACUUUGACAAUAUGCACAGGUACUUAUUGCAAGUGUAAAAGAAUAACAGAACUCACAUAAUGACUAUUAAGUGUGAAGUAGUUGAACUAGGAGGGAUGAUGAAUUUAAAAGUUCACUUCCUCGCAAUUUGCAAGACACUGAAGAAAUAAAGUCUCAUCCAAAGAAGAAGGAGAGUGCAAGAGGGACGUACGAGUAACGGAGGGGACAUAGAAGCUCAGAUGGCCAAUACGCUGCUUUAUAUCUCAUCUUGCUGCAUGAAUGAAUGUAAUAGCCAAGGUAAUAAUACUGAAGACUGGGGCAGUGAACUUGAUUCUCCUUCACCCAAGAUAUUUCUUUCAAAGCCGAAUAUUUUCCCAAAGAUAAAAAGGCAAAGUCAGGGUCCCAAAAUAAAUAUUUACUCGACAAGCAUUUAGGAAGGAUAUCCACCACACCAACCGCAACUAAUCGGCCAUCAAUAACAUAUGACUGAUGGAAAGACCCAAAACCGCAGGGAGGAACUGAACCAUCACCGGUCGAGGGAACAAAAACCAAUGGUGUGUCAACCAAAAAACUCUCAUACCCUUCCUCUGUGAUAUCGUCUGGAUUGUCCUUGUGCACUUUCAACUGAUAUCGCCUAUACAACUCAAAUUCUUCACGCUCAAAACUGGAUCUUUUCAGAAGAAUCUCAAGCUUCCGCCUUUUUCCUGAACAACAGUUACAGCACCUCACCAUACAUCUUCUCUUGUUUCCAUUUCUCGUUGAAGAUUCUUUAGAGAGAGAUUUUUCUUCGCCAGUCUUAUCCGCUGAAGCAUGCUCUGCAAUAGAAUAAAAGUUCAGAUGUCCGUUACAUGCUUGGACCAAGAAGCCAGAUGUUUCAUCCGUUUGAGACAAUGACCGCGCCAACUUUUCUCCAAUCCUUCGAGGUGUCAACUCAGAAGGCAGUUGGUCUUCUGCUGAGAUUCCAGAGAAUUCUGACCCUUUUUCAUCCUUUUUUUCUGACCGCGCACGCCUUAAAGUGGCAGCCAAUUGGAAAGCAAUGUUACUGGUAUACGAGAGAUUUUCCAAUCCUUUGACUAGCUUCUUCUUCUUGGUUGGGGAGACUCCUUUGACAGAAGCUUUAGGUAAUUGAAGAUUGGCAGAAAACGUCUCGCUUUCGAUACAUGCCUGCACAGCCUUAUCAAUUGCAUCAGACAAGUAAUGCAUAAAUUGUUCUGGCUCAUUCUUAUCCUCCUCCACGUCCACAGAAGUUUCAACCGUUGCCAAGUUUGACCUUCCAUGACAUUCACAUUCACAUGCCACUUUAGAAGUAUUUAAAUCCUCCAGGAGCUCAGGCUUGGCUUUGGUGUCCAGUGUACCAUCCAGAAACCUAGAAAAUAAUCACCAUGGUGAGAAAUUCUUGUACAUUAUAUCCAGAGUAUGCAGCUUUGCUAAAUCCUCACCUCAAAGGUAUAAUUCGGUUGAAAUGCACAAGUAGCCUAACAAUUUUCGCAACCAUUGCACUUGUUAAGUUUAGCUUCAUGGUGUAAAAAGACCGAGAAAUUUCUCAAGCAGUUAAAAAGCAAAGCUCUUUCACUUUGAGAAAUCUCCUAGGUUGGAAAGCUUAGUGACGUCAAACUAAAAUUCCACUCAUGGAGUUGUCCGUUGAAAUACCAUUCCAAUGCCUACCAGCCUCAAAGUGGGCAAAUAGUAUUUUUGAUGACCACUGCUCUAAUCAAUUGACAAAGAAUGGACUCCAAACUCGAAUGCUGUCUUGAAAACAGGGUGGUGGUCGAUUUUGCAAAAUGCAACGACGACGGAAUGAUGAAAAAAAAUCAUAUGUGAAGAUGCAACGAUCCAAUGAAUAGAAUCCAUAAUGUAGAGAGGUUAUUAAAGUAAUACCUUUCCAUCCGUCUGCAUACUCGAUUUUGCUCCUUGGAAGGAGAAAAGUCCGCUGCUUUUAAGCGGAUAGUAUAAGAAGGGCAACACGUAGUACUCAUAUCUGGCUUGUAAAGGACAGAGCCAGAUCUUCUCCAUCCUCGAUCAAGGAGAUCUACAGGAUGAGUAUCGAAGUAUGAAUUGCCACUCAAAAGAUAAAUGCACAAUCAUCGAAUGUACUAUAACAUCUAUCCGAGCCAUCAUUGCCACAGUAAGAAAACUAUUGGGAUAGAAACGACUCGAGUCGGAACUUCAGCAUCCACCAUAGCUCCAACAUGGUUUCUCUGAGCUCUUGCAGUUAAAAUACGCACAUACGGAAGCAUACGUGCGUGUCUUAACUGCUGAUAGAAUGAGUAGGCAUAAAUUUCCCUCAUACGGAUCAAGCAUUCGAAAUUUCUCUACUUCUUUCGACCAGACAUGUGCACAUAUUGAAACUACAUGAGCCGAGAGUCGAUUAGUUACAGCGCAUCGACAGUCCAGAGCUGCCCAGACUCUCAAAAUAGGAAAUCCCGCACCAACCUUGAUAGUCAUCCACGUUUAGGCUCUCCGCGAUCAAGCCUGCGAUCCAAGUCGAAGAGACGUUAAAAAACAAACAAUCCGAAACGGGAAAAAAUUCGUCACAGCAAGCCGACACACGCAACGAAGCGUCAGAUUGGAACUAAAGACUAAACGCGAAUCAGCAAUUCCAGCGACCGUGAACGUCACGACAGUCGACAAAAGCCGGAAAAAAGCAAACCCCGAAGCACGGCAUCUCCAGUCCCGAGCCACCGGAGCCCGGGCAAAAACCGUACUCAACGACACGGGAGGGAGGCAAACAACGAGAAACGAAGGAGAAACCGUACGGACCGUGAGAAACGCUGGAGGACCCAUUUGGCGAUUUGCAGUACCCGCAGGAGCUCUCCUGCCGGCCGCAGUCCUCGACCACCGACUCCCCCCUUCCGCCGCCGCCGCCGCCGGUCGCCUCGCUGCGACGGUUGGCCGCCAUCUCCGAUCGAAGCUCCAUCCCUUCAGCUGUUCGUCACCAAAGCAGAGGCAGAGAGAGGGAGAGGAAAUCGCCGGCGCCUCCGAUUUAUUUAUACGAGCUUCGAAUGGGUCGAGUGGAGAUGAGGACGGUCCGACCGGGACGGGGUGCAGUCCGUUUCCGGAAUUUGCAUAUAUAUAAUCCGUGGGCUGUUCAUUUCAAAGCCGCGAGGUGGUUUAGCCCCUUUUUUCUCCGGUUUUCCUCCCCCAGGAUCUUUCCUCGGAAAAGAGACGAAAGAAAAGUACCAUCUCAUUUGCAAAAAUAGAAAUAGCAUCGUCUUCACAAAUCAGCCUCUUUCGGACCCGACCAUGAAGAACCAUUUUUCAAAGUAAUCCAAUAUAAGGCUAUCACAUUAAAAAAACGUUGAAGAUAAUUUCAGGAGCAGAAGGUUGCAACGAAGUUGGAGUAUUGAUCCGAUCAUUUUCUCCGGAGACCCGUAGCCUUGUCGGAUUCUCUUUUGGAGCCGUGGGCUACUCUUCUCCCUGGCUGUCGCUUUUUGCUUGAAUGUCGACCGUCUAUGCCGUGCUUGUCUUUGGCGUUGCAUUGUAGGGUGUGUGCCGCGUGUUUGUGGCUUUUACAUAAUGGCAUCCUUCCACCGCUUUUGAUCUUUUGAAGUACGAGUUUUGAAGCCCUAAUCUUAUGUAUUUUUAGCCUCUUCUCAAUAUAUUUAUUUCCUUUCACCAAAAAAAAGAAAGGUAUCAUCUCCAUUUUUAUUUUUAUUUUGCCUUUCUAGUGGUGUACUCUGAGAAUAUUUCUCGAAUGAGGCCACAAUUUUCACCCUUUUUUUUUACCAAAAGGGCCCAUCGAAAGGGGGCGGCAAUUUGCGUUUCUUCACCCUGAGAGUCUCUCCCCUAAUAUUUUCGAUCCAAAUCAAUACGAUGAAAACUCCAAAUUGAUAUAUUUACAACAAAUUAAUUUAAAGCUAUUUUUUUAACUAUUACAAACUCCAAAUUGAUAAAUUCGUAAUAAAUUUAUUCUUCAUUAAUUUUCAUUAAAAAAUUUCAUUAAAUUACUAAAUUAGAUAGCACAUGACAAUAAAUAGGCGUACUAGUUUGGGGGCUUACUUUUUAUUUAUCAUAGUAUAAUAUUUUAUGAUUUUUCAUGGUAUUAAUAUAAUUUGAUAGAAACUAACGUUGAGUAAAAAAGUCACAAAUAUACUAUUUUGAAAAUUUUUGUGAUAAAAAAUUAAUUUAUGAUAAAUAUAUCAAUUUAUGAUUUUUCAUCAUAUUAAUUUGUUGCUAAAAUAGCUCAUCAUGACAUAAAGUCCGUUUUCCAUUGAGAAAGUAUCAGCUGGUGUUGGGUCCUGAUAAUCCAUAGUUCAUACAAGGGAAAGGGAAAGAAUAAUAACGAAGGAUACAAUGUAGGAAAUUGAAAAGUAGAGGAGGGCCAAAAUCGAAAGAUGUAUUUGCUCGUAUUUUAUAUCAUGUCCACACUCUCCACCAAUCAAAACGCACCUUGCUCUGACUGCCACAUUCGUAGUCUGAUCUCUAUCCCCAAAAUAUAGUAAAAGCCCUAUACCCACACAAAAAGUUUUGAGGAAGAUGUCGUGGCAGCCUGGCGGGGAUUGCCCUCCUUCUUUCAGAUGAUGAUGAUGACGACGGUGAUGGAAAGGUACUCCACUCAACACCAGCCAAAAAAAAGAAAAGAACAACUAGUAGUUAAAUAGUCGAUCCUGGCCCUUUUCAUAUCGAAGGGGAAAAUGAUGCACGGGGGGCUAGAAGCCUAGAACAGACGGCCUUCAACUCGAGAAAAUAUUUGGUGCCUGUCAUGUAACUAGCAUAACAAAAAAAGAAGAGAUCUAAAAAGGUGACACGCGAUUAAAGUAGGCCCAAACGUCAGAUUCCCAUGCACCUUCUCCUCCCUCCUCUCUCCUGUCUCUUCUCUUUGCCCAAAUGGCAUACUCCUCUACACUUUCUCUCUCUCUCUCUCUUCUCUCCCUUGCACGAUCUCUCUCUAGCCCGACUCUCCCUCUCUUCGCCACCCUCUCUCUAUCCCACCGAGCCCUCGUUUGACUGACAAACUUUGCCCCAACAGAGGCAAAGCCACGGUUUUUCGUCCAACGAGGGUUCGAUUGUGACUUGAAGGGGGAAAGAGAGAACGGCCGAUGGGGGGCAGCAAGCUAUCAUUAGACCAGCGCUGUGGCUCAUCGGUUGGACAAGGGCACUAUGGCUCGUUCGACGAACCACCACACAGCCUGACCUUGAGGUUGUCUACACCGUCACAAAGUUUGUCGAUCGAGCGCGGUGGCUCGUUCGGCGAACCACCGUGUGGCUCUACCUCCUCUUAGAAAGGUUGCCUCCAUUGGCGCUAACCAACUCCAAUGGAGAAGAGGUUGAACAAUCGCAAAUAAGGGCAAAAUUGAAAAACAAAAAAGCCAGUGAGGAUAUUGGGCAUUUGAUAAAAUUUUCAAAACUCACCUUGAAAAAAAGUUUGCAUUUGAAAAGCUGAAAGCUCUUGAGCUUUCAGCCUUCUCGGUAUGCAAGAAGGCCAUAGGAGGUAAAAAAAUUUCUUCUGAAAUUAUCCUCACCGACUUUUUGGUUUUUCGAUUUUGCCCUUAUUUGCGAUUGUUCUGCUUCUUCAUUGGGGCUGGCCAGCGUGGCUGCUAUGGCUACGAGGGGUUGGCAACGGGCCAAAGAGAGUAUGGCGCAAUCGCGGCGACCUAGGCAACCAUCCUGAGGGGAUCCUGUGACCUAGGCAAGUGCCAUAUGCAUUGCACAAGGCAGGCUAAGGUUACUCGAUCCAAACAGUAGACGACCCUCGACAAUCACACAACCUCUACAAGAGUCUGCUUGUUUCGUGAAACCUAGUUGGCUUAUAUUAUGGUUGAGCAACCUCCACGAGGGUUGUGCCGGUGAAGGUUGCCUAGGUUUGCAUGACCCAACUGGCCCUCGUUGGGGUCAAGUGACCUCAACAAGGAGUUACAUGGGCUACUUGACCUAGCUAACCCUCGUUGGGGUUGAGCAACCUUCGCAAGGGUCAUGUCGGCAAGGGCUACUUGGGUUUGCACGACCAAACUGGCCCUUGCUCAGGUCGAGUGACCUUUGUGAGGGUUGCGUAAGUCGCACAACACUCACUAGGGCUCGCCCAACCCUAAGCAGCCUUUGCUAGUGAUCUCCAAGUAGCCACCUACCCUUGGUUUGUUAGGGCCAAUUAUUAUUAUUUUUUCUUUAAUAAUUGAAAUGCUUUGUUAGUAUAAUUUUUCCAAAGACAAAUUAUUAUUAUUUUUUCUUUAAUAAUUGAAAUGCUUUGUUAGUAUAAUUUUUCCAAAUAUUAUUUUACUCAAUGGAGUCUUAGAUUACAAUUUAUUAAAAGUAAUUUGCAUAUUGAAAAACUCAUUUAACUUAAAAGUUUCCUGAAGGCUUUUCCCAAAAAUCCAACCAAAUACACCGAGAGAGAGAGCGCAGGGGGAGUCUGGCAUUUCGGCGAAAGAGAGGAGAGAGGAGAGAACAGUGCAGAGGAGAGUGGAGUGAACAAUGCGUGCAGCAUUUGGAUGAGAGAGAAGAGAGAGGAGAGAGCAUGCAAAGAAGUGACGUUUGGACCCACUUUGGACAUGUGUCGCCAUUUCGGUUCAUUUCUUUUUAUUGUGCUGACUACACAAGAAGCAUCUAAUAUUUUCUUCCUUCAACUUAGUGAAUCUAGAUGUGAUGUGAAGAGAUGACAAGACCAUCACCUCGAACAUUGAUUACAUAACGGAUAGCAUGGUAUCAACUUCUACGAAAAGUCUAUCGAAAUAACAAGUCAUACCUCGAUGUAUUACCUCCCUAGUCCUAUGCCGUCGGAUACACUUGACCCAAUGUGUGUUCCAAAAAGAGGAGCUCCACGAGUCAUGACAUUCCAGAGGAUGUAUUUUUGCUACUAAGCUAUCAACCAAGAACGAGAAUAACGGAAUUAUAGUCCUAUUGAAGCAGCGGCAACACCUUCAGGGGCCACCACCAAAGCAAUUGCCGCCUCCUCUGAAGCAUCAGCCACUGCGGCACCACUGACUUCAGGGCCAUCUGUGUUGGGUGCCGAUGCCGGCCAAAGCUUCAGGUGGGAUGGAGGGCUGUGCUUCAAGAGAAUCUAUUGCAUCCUUGAAACUUCAGUUGGUUUUCCUGGUAUAGGGGCUCGGACAACGACAACAGAGGGCUUCUUCUCUUUGAUCCUUCUUUCCUCUCUUAUUUUCUAUGGUGGGAACUUCAUUAGGGAGGAGCUCUGCAAUCGCCUUCCAAAAGUUCUUGUCAGCCUCAAUGUGGAACUUCCCGAGGCUGGCCAAAAACAAUUGAACCACAAAGGACAUAGCAUCAGAAAAGGCCAAUAGCAUUACCAUGACAACAUCCCCCACCAGACUGCCAAAGGUGACCGCAUAAAAGCAAUGGUCCUAUGCAACCAUCAGUGCUAUGAUUUUUUUGUGUUAUUUCACCCUGAACUGGACUAAACAAUAGAUAAGAUAUCCUUGAUAUAUCAUAACGAGUAUAACCUAUGACUUUAACCAAAUUCAAUUUCAGACUAGUAAGUUCAACCACAUUCAGCUUUUUCCCCAUCCUAUGCAACUUGUGUUAUUUCACCCAGUCACAAUAGAUCAAGUCCUAGAUGUAUUGUAACAACAUUGACGCUAGUCAGAUUUCUGACUAAUUGAGGUCAAAGACAUUCUGAUUUUCCCCAUCCUGCGUGAUAGCAAGUGUCCCAGGAAAUAACUGAGAUUCUAAUUACUUUCAUAUGAUAUGAACACACACUAGUAAUCUACUUUAAUUUGGUCCUAGAAUCUAUUCCCCAUAAUCGCUAGUGGAUUUAUAGAACUGAUAACCAUUUCCCGAACACAUAGUGCCCUUCACCCUUCUCCACUAACCACAAUGCAUUUUACCUCAUCAUAUUGAAUAAUGUCUGGAUGGUGUGCACUACCAUAAAAAGUAUGAGACUAAAGUGCAGCUCAAACACAUGAUAUACCGUUGGCGUGCUCCUCCUUUGCAAAAAUAUUAUUUGAUCGUAGUAGGCAUUUGAUACUUAAAAUUGUUUCUAAAGGGUACUUUAACUUGAUUGGCUCCAACUUGCAAGCAUGGGAGAUACUAACGCAUGUCAUACCUUAGACGUUAACAGAAAGCUGAUGCAUUGGAACUUAAUUUUCAACUCACGUCAGCAUUAUGCAGUUCUUCACAAUGAUUACAAAAUAUCAAUUUUAAAUCGAUUUGAUUAACUGUUGCAAAUGUAAAAAUCAAAUAUUCCACUAACAGUCGUCGGCACAACUUCCAUGAAUUAAAUGAGUACAAUUUAAUGCACUCGUGUGAUAAAACGGAAUCAUAUAAACCCACCCGGAAAAAUUGUUACAGAAACACUCACCAAAAAAAAAAAAAAAUCAAGUAUGAACAAAAGAUAAAUAUCAUGAAUUAAGUUUGCAAUUGUAGAUUGGAAGGGCUCGCCUUCACCUUUCUCCUGUUGGUUGUCUUGUUGUUAUCACAUGUUAUCGUCAUUUUUUCCUGUAGAACUCAAUUUUAUACUCAUCUGCUUCAUCAAUUAUUUGGUUCAAUAGCUCUUUCUCCAUCUUCUCUUUCUCUUCCAAUCGAACUGCAUUGUGUCCUUGCAUUGCUACAAAUUUUUAAUGACAACAGUCUUAUAAUAUAUGACGUCAAUGGAAAAAAAAAAGUACAUAGUGCCCAACAAAAGCAGGAAUUUUGCUUUGAUCAAGGUUAACAGUCACCAGCACUGAAGGGAUUUACAAGUAAAGCAAGACCUUAUAUCAUUUCUUUAGUAAAGUCUUAUUGUACAGAUGAACCAUAGUAGUAAAUUCGUACCUAAUCAUGGGCAUUUUUAUGUUAUUGGUGUGCUAAGGCUUUUCUUAUAGGAGUUAGGCGGAAAUCCCGUUUUUUUCCCCCCCCCCCCCCCCCCCUCCCCAACCACCACCAAAAAAAAUAUAUAUAUAUAUAUUUGGGGUAAGCAAAAUCACUCUUGAAAAUCUAGAUAAGAUCGCAUGGACUCAGUUGUGAAGGUCAUGAAAAUUCAUAAGCAGAUGGGAAUUUGAGAUUCUGUGAAAGCCGGGACAAUCAGACAAAGUUAACAGGAUUUUUGAGAAGUGAGAGAAUUCUAAGGCUGUUGUUAGUCAUUAGGUGGGUAUCAGUGUUGAGGGUUUCUCUCAUCCCAAUUGUUCCAGAUCCCUUCCAAUCCCCAACUUGCGAAUUCAAUCCCUGAAGCAUUGCAAAGAUCAUAAUUUUUCGCACAGAAUUAGCACCACGACGAGGUCAUCUGAAGUGAUCCUACAUGAUAACAGUACUAAGAUGCACUAAGAGCCAAAAAAAUUCUCUCUACUCACUCAAUUCACUCAAAAGCUGCUUUCUCUUUCUAGAAGUCUAUUUUCCCUGACUUCACUCGGCGAUUAGAGCAUCGCUUUCAUAGCGCGAGAAUCAUCAGUAUUGCCCUUUAACCUAAUCAUCACACUACACUUCUCAUCAGAGCACGAAGCUCUUCAAACCACCACACUGAUGUGACCACAAGAUAUCUCUCCCCAGACAGAAUGAUCCGCAGAACACAAACUCACUCUCAAAAUUCUGCAACAUCAUGAGACUCACCUCCUCCACUAUCUCAGAGCAAAUCCUUCCUCAGGCUGCAUCUCCAUCAGGGGCGGCAAAACCGGACUGUCUGCCUCCUCCGUCGGCCACGGCGUAGACCGGAGGGGUGGCUGGCGCCUAGUCCGAGAAAAAACCAUCCCUGGAAGUGAAGCUGUCGGCGUCAUUGUCGUCAUCCUCCUCCUCAAGUAAAUAGACCAUUUGCUCAGACAACUCUCGACCGACCACUCUCACAUGCCUCUGCACUUGGGCUUCCAGGUAUUUCCAAUCAACAAAACCAAGGGGCCGUUGCAGAUCCUUCAUAAAAGAAAUAAACCAGUGAGUCAUUUGGUAAAUCAAGUGUGUAAACAGGCAACUCACAAGAUGGAUCUCUGUUCAAGACACCAAGUAGAUUAUGUAAUUAUGUAAGUUCCAUCAGUUAUUUAUUUAAAAAAAAAAAAAAAAACUAAGUCUUAUUCUGCAAGGGGUAAAAUCAACUAAAUAAUUGGUGGCAUGAAUUAGAGAAAAGCAGGGCAGUAGCUGAAGAACUGUCCAGACAAUAACCCAUUGGCUUCUCCUCUCUAUAUUAAAAAAAAAGCCAGUGGAAACUCAAAAUAACAUUCCACAGUGAAACGUCAUAUAACAGACGCAAAAGGAGCUUCCCAAACAAUAAGGAGAUUUAUAGUUGCCGAUGAACUUUACAUACCUUGUAUCUCAGGCGAAACCCCCCUAAUCCUAUCAGAGUAUUUCCAAUUUCCUUAUCACCAAGGUCAAACAUUUCUUCAUCUCCAACUAAACGAUCAUUCGAGUCCUUAUGCUCACUUUCCUCAUGCUGAUGUUCGCUGACAUGAUCAGAAACUGGAGGCAGCAAUGGCUUCUCAUCUUCAUCUUUAUAAUCUGACAGGACAACAUACUUACUUCUAUCUAGCAGAGGCUUUGCAACGUUGAAGGGAACCCAC